Molecule: ribosomal RNA, 253 nt
Filed under: uncultured bacterium
Lineage: Bacteria
Description: partial 16S ribosomal RNA
Rfam family: Bacterial small subunit ribosomal RNA
Source: RNAcentral
UACGGGGGGAGCAAGCGUUGUUCGGAUUUACUGGGCGUAAAGGGCGCGUAGGCGGCGCCGCAAGUCGACUGUGAAAUCUCCGGGCUUAACCCGGAAAGGUCAGCCGAUACUGCGGGGCUAGAGUGCAGAAGGGGCAACUGGAAUUCUCGGUGUAGUGGUGAAAUGCGUAGAUAUCGAGAGGAACACCUGCGGCGAAGGCGGGUUGCUGGGCUGACACUGACGCUGAUGCGCGAAAGCUAGGGGAGCGAACGGG